Meleagris gallopavo (turkey) is the source of this 1609-nucleotide long non-coding RNA. RefSeq lists it as uncharacterized. NCBI's taxonomy places the organism in Eukaryota, Metazoa, Chordata, Aves, Galliformes, Phasianidae. The record is from RefSeq and is a predicted model, not a curated record.
AGCAUAUUAAAUUGGAGGUAUUGAAACUGCUUGAUAACUCAUUAAUCUAAACAGAAGGACCCAGGAGCAAAGUCCCUGCUCUAGCUGUAGGGCAGAUAUAAGCAAACAUUCGCCCUGGUUUCACUACAGUAAUGCUGAUGCACACAACUGUUACAGCAACCUUUUAAAGGAACUCAGAGAACUAAUACCAAGAAGCAACUACUGCAUUUAACUGGACCACAACUUUUUCAAAAUACACCAAACAGCUUGAUGGUUCUAUAUUUUGCAAUGGAGCAUUCUGAAGAGGCACAACAAAAUGGAGACAUUCUGGCACAGUCUCAUUCAAUCUCAUUCAGGCAACGGAAUGUCACUGUGCUGAACAGAGACUGAAGAAGAGAUGACAGCUGCCAAACACUCAUCUCAGGAAAGAAGGUCUGCAGUCCCAAGAAACUUCUAACCCAGUCUGAAGACAGUAUUCUAAGAUUGUUUCCUCUUAUGGUCCGCAAUUAAGCUAUUCCUUUUUGGAAGUGGAACUAACAAAGGCGAUGCUUGCCUUUGUCACCUGAACCACAGCAAAUAUAUUUCAAACUGUUGUGAUCUGCUCCAGCAGAUGGCUCAGCACUGCAUGCUCACUCCCCUCCUUCUCAGCGUGAAGGGGGAGAGAAUAAAAAAAACAACAACAAAGUAGCACUCGUGGGUUGAGGUAAAACUAUUUAAUAAGAGAGAGAAAAUGGAAAGAAAAAUAGUUAUGACUAUGCGUGUGUGUGUAUAUAUAUAUAUAUAUAUAUAUGAAUGUAAAGAACAAGUGACACACAAGCAAUUGCUCACCACUCUCCAGCCGAUGCCCAGCUUGCCCUAAGUGGCAGAAGAGAGCCAGAUAACUCCCAUCCCCUUCAAAACUCCUGCACGAUGCCAUAUGGCAUGGAAUAACACUUUGGCCAGUUUAAGUCAGCUGUCCUAAUUCUGUUCCCUCCCAGCUCCCUAGGCCCUUCACUGUGAAAGGCCUUGGCUCUGUACAACACUGCUUAGCAGCAGCUAUUAGCAUUGCUGUAUUAUCAACAUUGUUUUUCUCCUAGACCAAAAACAUACAGCCAUAACAAACACUCUGAAAAAAGUAAUUCCAUCCUGACUGAAACUAAGACACAAACCAACUCAAAAUAAGCUGAUAUUACUGCAACAGCAGCACUUACUUUAAGUUUAGGGUAUCAAUUCAUGUUUGCAGCCAUUUUUUCUCAUGUGUCAAUAAAGAGAGUUUUCUGGAUUUUUUGUAAGUAUAAUAAAGUUACUUUAAAACAGAACCUUGCAGAAACUAAAUAAUGGCUACACAGUUAUUAAAUAUAUAUAUAUGUUACACAGAAGUAGAAUAAAUUAAUUGCAUAAACUUCAUCAGGACAUGCAGAAAUGAAAAUAAUUUUUCUUCCCAAGUUAGAAAAUUAAGUUGACAUCCAAUGCGCCUAUAUUAAUUAUAACACUCAUUGAUGCUUAUAUGCACAUCUAAAAAAUAACAAAGUCCACAGGAAAUACGACAGUACCUUUGUUAAGAAAAAUGCAUCUCUAUUUCAUACCUGAAAUAUGGUUUCAUCUCCAGCUGUUUUCAAAUCAUCUUCCUUUCCAAUGAUUCUCUGCAUCU